Molecule: ribosomal RNA, 426 nt
Filed under: uncultured prokaryote
Description: bacterial SSU rRNA
Rfam family: Bacterial small subunit ribosomal RNA
Source: RNAcentral
UCGAGAAUUUUUCACAAUGGGCGCAAGCCUGAUGGAGUGACGCCGCGUGGGGGAUGAAUGGCUUCGGCCCGUAAACCCCUGUCAUUUGCGAUCAACCGUUAUUGUUUAAGAGAUGAUAACCUGAUAGUAGCGAAAGAGGAAGGGACGGCUAACUCUGUGCCAGCAGCCGCGGUAAUACAGAGGUCCCAAGCGUUGUUCGGAUUCACUGGGCGUAAAGGGUGCGUAGGUGGCGAAGUAAGGCGGAUGUGAAAUCUCCGGGCUCAACGUGGAAACUGCAUUGGAAACUACUUUGCUUGAGGGUUGGAGGGGGGACUGGAAUACUUGGUGUAGCAGUGAAAUGCGUAGAUAUCAAGUGGAACACCAGUGGCGAAGGCGAGUCCCUGGACAACUCCUGACACUGAGGCACGAAAGCUAGGGGAGCAAACA